UACGUAGGGCGCAAGCGUUGUCCGGAAUUAUUGGGCGUAAAGAGCUCGUAGGCGGUUUGUCGCGUCUGCUGUGAAAACCUAAGGCUCAACCUUGGGCUUGCAGUGGGUACGGGCAGACUAGAGUGCGGUAGGGGUGACUGGAAUUCCUGGUGUAGCGGUGGAAUGCGCAGAUAUCAGGAGGAACACCGAUGGCGAAGGCAGGUCACUGGGCCGCAACUGACGCUGAGGCGCGACAGCGUGGGGAGCAAACAGG
RNAcentral lists this ribosomal RNA (253 nucleotides) under uncultured bacterium. Its description in RNAcentral is "partial 16S ribosomal RNA". It matches the Rfam family "Bacterial small subunit ribosomal RNA", at positions 524 to 776 of the family's 1533-position model. The record is from RNAcentral.